UACGAAGGGGGCUAGCGUUGCUCGGAAUCACUGGGCGUAAAGCGCACGUAGGCGGCUUUCUAAGUCAGGGGUGAAAUCCUGGAGCUCAACUCCAGAACUGCCUUUGAUACUGGAGAGCUUGAGUCCGGGAGAGGUGAGUGGAACUCCGAGUGUAGAGGUGAAAUUCGUAGAUAUUCGGAAGAACACCGAUGGCGAAGGCAGCCAUCUGGACCGACACUGACGCUGAGGCGCGAAAGCGUGGGGAGCAAACAGG
RNAcentral lists this ribosomal RNA (253 nucleotides) under uncultured bacterium. Its description in RNAcentral is "partial 16S ribosomal RNA". It matches the Rfam family "Bacterial small subunit ribosomal RNA", at positions 524 to 776 of the family's 1533-position model. The record is from RNAcentral.